This 478-nucleotide ribosomal RNA is filed under the name uncultured bacterium. Its description in RNAcentral is "partial 16S ribosomal RNA". It matches the Rfam family "Bacterial small subunit ribosomal RNA", at positions 28 to 507 of the family's 1533-position model. The record is from RNAcentral.
GACGAACGCUGGCGGCGUGCUUAACACAUGCAAGUCGAACGGGAUUUGGUAAACAGAAACCUCGGUGGAAGAUUACUAAUGAGAGUGGCGAACGGGUGAGUAACGCGUGAGCAACCUGCCUAUGACAGUGGGAUAGCCUCGGGAAACCGGGAUUAAUACCGCAUAAAAUCGUAGAAACACAUGUUUUAACGGUCAAAGAUUUAUCGGUCAUAGAUGGGCUCGCGUCUGAUUAGCUAGUUGGUGAGAUAACAGCCCACCAAGGCGACGAUCAGUAGCCGGUCUGAGAGGAUGAACGGCCACAUUGGAACUGAGACACGGUCCAAACUCCUACGGGAGGCAGCAGUGGGGAAUAUUGCACAAUGGGGGAAACCCUGAUGCAGCGACGCCGCGUGAACGAAGAAGGUAUUCGUAUCGUAAAGUUCUGUCCUAUGGGAAGAUAAUGACAGUACCAUAGAAGAAAGCUCCGGCUAAAUACGUG